GACGAACGCUGACGGCGUGCUUAACACAUGCAAGUCGAACGGUGAAGCGCCUUCCUUUUUGGUGGGUGUGGAUGAGUGGCGAACGGGUGAGUAACACGUGAGUAACCUGCCCCCUUCUUCUGGAUAACCGCAUGAAAGUGUGGCUAAUACGGGAUAUUCUGGGUCUGUCGCAUGAUGGGUCUGGGAAAGAAAUUGUUUCGGUGGGGGAUGGGCUCGCGGCCUAUCAGCUUGUUGGUGGGGUGAUGGCCUACCAAGGCGGUGACGGGUAGCCGGCCUGGGAGGGUGGACGGGCACACUGGGACGGAGACACGGCCAAGACUGGUACGGGAGGCAGCAGUGAGGAAUAUGGCACGAUGGGGGCAGGCCUGAUGCAGCGACGCCGCGUGCGUGAUGGAGGCCUUCGGGUUGUGAACCUCUUGCGCCAGUGAAGCAGGCCUGCCUCGUUUGUGGGUGGGUUGACGGUAGCUGGAUAAGAAGCGCCGGCUAACUACGUG
This 494-nucleotide ribosomal RNA is filed under the name uncultured bacterium. Its description in RNAcentral is "partial 16S ribosomal RNA". It matches the Rfam family "Bacterial small subunit ribosomal RNA", at positions 28 to 507 of the family's 1533-position model. The record is from RNAcentral.